CAAUAGCGUAUAUUAAAGUUGUUGCGGUUAAAAAGCUCGUAGUUGGAUUUCUGCUGAGAACGACCGGUCCGCCCUCUGGGUGUGUAUCUGGCUCUUUCUUGGCAUCUUCUUGGUGAACGUUGCUGCACUUGACUGUGUGGAGCGCUACCCAGGACUUUUACUUUGAGGAAAUUAGAGUGUUUCAAGCAGGCAUACGCCUUGAAUACAUUAGCAUGGAAUAAUAAGAUAGGACCUCGGUUCUAUUUUGUUGGUUUCUAGAGCUGAGGUAAUGAUUAAUAGGGAUAGUUGGGGGCAUUCGUAUUUAACUGUCAGAGGUGAAAUUCUUGGAUUCGUUAAAGACGGACUACUGCGAAAGCAUUUGCCAAGGAUGUUUUCAUUGA
RNAcentral lists this ribosomal RNA (380 nucleotides) under uncultured eukaryote. Its description in RNAcentral is "partial 18S ribosomal RNA". It matches the Rfam family "Eukaryotic small subunit ribosomal RNA", at positions 592 to 976 of the family's 1831-position model. The record is from RNAcentral.